UUUCACAUCAAGUAAUUUGGACUUCUGCUUUUACAUUGAACUGCACAUGGAUCGCAAGACAGGCCAGUAGACUGCUUUUUUUAAACUCAGGAAAUAAAGAGUGAAGUGAAAACUCAAACUGAGCUACUGCAGUAACACACUGGGAAAUAGUUUGAAGCAUAAUGAAGCUCCUUUUAAAUGCAAUUUUACUGGUCGGUUGGUUAGCUUUACAGAAAUGUGGGGAAGCAUAUGUUUCUGGAUAUGGCGAUAUUUCCGAAUCACUUCCUGAGGACAGGAGACAAGAAGAUAUUGAGAGUGAGUGGGUGUACUUGGAUUGGCCCAUCAGCCCGGAUGUCUUAAAGCCCAGAAUUGCAGUGUAACAGCAGAUGAAGGACAGAGGUCAAGUGAUAGUGUGGUGUAUGUUUGGAAUGACUGAGCGGUCCGACUGGGGCUCUGUUGAUCUGUCAGUGGAGAGUGAACAUAACUAUACUAUGGAGGAAUUUGUCUGCUUCAGAUAUGGUAAAGUGUGUCAGUUUGAGGCAACAGUGAGCCCACCUGUUUCCUUCACCUGUGUGCAUGAACUUUAUUUGAAUGGAGAUGUCAAGUACCUGCGCAGCGAGACCUACACAUACGCCUUGGAUCAUCGUGACGGAAUAUCUUCAUCUUACAUUGGCUUUUCCUCCUUCAUUGUUGUUGGUCUCAUUAUAAUGACUGCUGCCGUGAUAGUGACCACCAUUAGGAGCAAUGCUAAAGUUAACACAGGCCCAACUGAGAAGGUUAUCGACAAUGACUACUUGGAUGCCUGAAUAAUUUAGAUUUCUGAAGAAGGAAGAACAGACAUGAAGAAAUACUCAACUUUCUCUGUUGUAUGUUUUAUAUUCAAAUGAAUAUUUUAUAUUUCAUUAGGAUGUGUUGCAUACAGUAUAUACAAUUUUUGAAAAAUAUAAUUUUAGAAAAAUGUAUGAAAGGCAAAAUGUAUUUUUAUAUGCAUCACAUCCGUUUGGUUAAAUUUUCAGAUUUUUAAAAUAUUUAGAUGAUGAUUAUAAUGACUGUAUAUUAAUGGCUUUGGUACUGUCUUGGCAUGUUUUUUCACAUUUCAAAUUUUCCCAUUUUAAUGCACUUAGUAUACUCCCUAGUAAUAAAUCCUUACUUCUCUUCUGCUUCACUGUUGCUCUUUUACACUUCUCUUUUGGAACUGUUUAUUGUAAAAACUUUCAUGUUACUGUCUGAAUCGCUGUCUAGGAUCACUUAUGCUGGAGUAGCAUUCCUCAUUUGUAAGUGCUAAUAAUACAUGUAAAAACUUUACUGUUACUGUUUUCCUACUGCUGUAGAUUUAAAUAAUGUCUACAUCCAGUAAGGGGCAGUUGUAGCUGUGGUUUGGUAUUUGCCUGAAUAUUGAGUUGCUUUAAUAAGAUGGCAAUAAUCAUUAUGAUUAUGCAUACUUUUUUAGUGAAUGUUAUGUGGCUCUUAUUGUUAAGCUUUUUAUAGAUGCAGAGUAAUGCAGUAUCAAAAUCUUUGAAUUCUGUAUAUGAAUUUAUGAACCACCCUGAUACUUUUUAAAUUUUCAAUCCUGAAAAUCUGUUACUCUUGUAUUACCGUAUAUAUGAAUGCCAUUUUAUUUGUCUUGUUUUAUUACAAAUAAAAAGUUAUUAUUCUU
Myxocyprinus asiaticus (Chinese sucker) is the source of this 1636-nucleotide long non-coding RNA. RefSeq lists it as uncharacterized. Lineage: Eukaryota; Metazoa; Chordata; Actinopteri; Cypriniformes; Catostomidae. The record is from RefSeq and is a predicted model, not a curated record. The transcript is spliced from 6 exons.